AUGCUUCGUGCCUACCUACUACAACCGCGACCUCUUCAAGAAACUUCAACAACCAAGCAAGGAACCAAGAGCGUUGAAGAAUACUACAAGGAGAUGGAGAUUGCAAUGAUAAGAGCCAAUGUGACGGAAGAUGAUGAGCAAACUAUGGCACAUUUCUUGAAUGGACUCAAUCAUCCGAUCAAGAAGAUCGCCGACUUCCAACCAUACUCAAAUCUCAUCGAGCUCGUGCACCAAGCUACCAAAGCGGAACGCCAAGUGCAAGAUGACUUCAAGUAUGCCAAGUUCUCAUCCAAGUCCUACGGUUUCUCCAAUAACCAAGCUUCAACGACUCCAACACCGACUACAAGACCGUCUACUUCCAACAUCGACAAGUCGACUUCCAAGAAAGCUUUGCCUACUACAAGCAACUUCAAGCCUAGAGCUUCAUCAUCAUCAACCCCUACCGAUGAGACCGUCAAGACGAGUUCCCUCAAGUGUUUCACUUGCGGAGGCCGAGGCCACAAGUCCUAUGAGUGCACCAACAAGCGCACCAUGAUCUUCAACGACGAUGGCACUUAUGAUUCCAUGAGCGAAGGAGAAAUGGAAGCCCUUGAGCAAGUCGCCAUGCACCGCCAAGUGAACAACGAAGAAGAACAAGUCUUUUCUGAUGAAGACUCAAGUCCCGCACUUGUUGUCUCCAAAGUCUUGACUCUCCAACAUCACCAAGAAGAAGACCAAAGAUGCACCAUAUUCCACACCAAGGCCGGCAUCAAUGGACGAUCUGUCAAGGUCAUUAUCGAUGGAGGGAGUUGUCACAAUAUCGCAAGUGAAGAACUUUGCUCCAAGCUCCAAUUUCCCAAGACGAAGCAUCCACAUCCAUACAAAGUGCAAUGGCUUAGUGGCUCCGGCACUAUCCAAGUCGAGCACUGA
RNAcentral lists this ribosomal RNA (909 nucleotides) under Triticum aestivum (bread wheat). RNAcentral describes it as "partial small subunit ribosomal RNA". Lineage: Eukaryota; Viridiplantae; Streptophyta; Magnoliopsida; Poales; Poaceae. The record is from RNAcentral.